UAGGGAAUCUUCGGCAAUGGACGAAAGUCUGACCGAGCAACGCCGCGUGAGUGAAGAAGGUUUUCGGAUCGUAAAACUCUGUUGUUAGAGAAGAACAAGGACGUUAGUAACUGAACGUCCCCUGACGGUAUCUAACCAGAAAGCCACGGCUAACUACGUGCCAGCAGCCGCGGUAAUACGUAGGUGGCAAGCGUUGUCCGGAUUUAUUGGGCGUAAAGCGAGCGCAGGCGGUUUCUUAAGUCUGAUGUGAAAGCCCCCGGCUGAACCGGGGGGGGUCAUUGGAAACUGGGAGACUUGAGUGCAGAAGAGGAGAGUGGAAUUCCGUGUGUAGCGGUGAAAUGCGUAGAUAUAUGGGGGAACACCAGUGGCGAAGGCGGCUCUCUGGUCUGUAACUGACGCUGAGGCUCGAAAGCGUGGGGAGCAAACAGG
This 429-nucleotide ribosomal RNA is filed under the name Chloroflexota bacterium. RNAcentral describes it as "Chloroflexi bacterium partial 16S ribosomal RNA". It matches the Rfam family "Bacterial small subunit ribosomal RNA", at positions 355 to 776 of the family's 1533-position model. Lineage: Bacteria; Bacillati; Chloroflexota. The record is from RNAcentral.